RNAcentral lists this transfer RNA (73 nucleotides) under Leucobacter luti. It matches the Rfam family "tRNA". From Rfam's summary of the family: Transfer RNA (tRNA) molecules are approximately 80 nucleotides in length. Their secondary structure includes four short double-helical elements and three loops (D, anti-codon, and T loops). The record is from Rfam by way of RNAcentral. Lineage: Bacteria; Bacillati; Actinomycetota; Actinomycetes; Micrococcales; Microbacteriaceae.
GCCCCUCUAGCUCAGUGGAUAGAGCGCCGGCCUUCGGAUCCGGACGUCGGGAGUUCGAAUCUCUCGAGGGGCG